RNAcentral lists this ribosomal RNA (395 nucleotides) under Sceloenopla meridionalis. Its description in RNAcentral is "SSU rRNA". It matches the Rfam family "Eukaryotic small subunit ribosomal RNA", at positions 602 to 955 of the family's 1831-position model. Lineage: Eukaryota; Metazoa; Arthropoda; Insecta; Coleoptera; Chrysomelidae. The record is from RNAcentral.
UAUUAAAGUUGUUGCGGUUAAAAAGCUCGUAGUCGAAUUUGUGUCCCACGCCGCCGGUUCAUCGUACGCGGUGUUAACUGGCGUGUCGCGGGACGUCCUGCCGGUGGGCCUAAGUCCGCAAGGGCGUCGGCCCGACCCAAUCCUGCCGCGGUGCUCUUCACUGAGUGUCGAGGUGGGCCGGCACGUUUACUUUGAACAAAUUAGAGUGCUUAAAGCAGGCUAAAACUUCGCCUGAAUACUGUGUGCAUGGAAUAAUGGAAUAGGACCUCGGUUCUAUUUUGUUGGUUUUCGGAACCCCGAGGUAAUGAUUAAUAGGAACGGAUGGGGGCAUUCGUAUUGCGACGUUAGAGGUGAAAUUCUUGGAUCGUCGCAAGACGGACAGAAGCGAAAGCAUU